GAUGAACGCUGGCGGCGUGCCUAAUACAUGCAAGUCGAGCGAACAGACGAGGAGCUUGCUCCUCUGACGUUAGCGGCGGACGGGUGAGUAACACGUGGAUAACCUACCUAUAAGACUGGGAUAACUUCGGGAAACCGGAGCUAAUACCGGAUAAUAUAUUGAACCGCAUGGUUCAAUAGUGAAAGACGGUUUUGCUGUCACUUAUAGAUGGAUCCGCGCCGCAUUAGCUAGUUGGUAAGGUAACGGCUUACCAAGGGAACGAUGCGUAGCCGACCUGAGAGGGUGAUCGGCGACCCUGGAACAGAAACAGGGUCCAUAGUCCUACGGGACGCAGCAGUCGGGAAUCGUCCGCAAUGGGCGAGAGCCUGACGGAGCAACGCCGCGUGAGUGAUGAAGGUCUUCGGAUCGUAAAACUCUGUUAUUAGGGAAGAACAAAUGUGUAAGUAACUAUGCACGUCUUGACGGUACCUAAUCAGAAAGCCACGGCUAACUACGUG
This 497-nucleotide ribosomal RNA is filed under the name uncultured bacterium. Its description in RNAcentral is "partial 16S ribosomal RNA". It matches the Rfam family "Bacterial small subunit ribosomal RNA", at positions 28 to 507 of the family's 1533-position model. The record is from RNAcentral.